Molecule: long non-coding RNA, 8727 nt
Organism: Haemorhous mexicanus (house finch)
Lineage: Eukaryota; Metazoa; Chordata; Aves; Passeriformes; Fringillidae
Exons: 17
Source: RefSeq, a predicted model, not a curated record
CCACACUCUUUCUUACAGGGCUUCAGGCUUCAUUGCUGAGACAAGCUCUAAAGUUCGAAUUCCAACUAAGAAAAUUUUGGCUUACAAAAUUCUUCAUUUCAACUCAAGGAAAAUAGAAUUGACAAAUCAAGAAAAUCCCUGAAAUUUAAGGUGUCUUUAUUUCUGAUGACCCAGCUUUUUGGUAGGAGGGAAACUGCUUUCACAGAGGAGCAUUGUGAUUCAAAACUUUUAACAAUGAAGCAGCACAGGAAGCUUAAAGUUGAGGUUGAUGGUGCUAGUUCCUGUCCAAAGUGAGAAAAAAGGUAAAAGCAAUCCCUGUGCUAAAGAACUCACAAUCUCAACAUGCAAAAGGAGUCAGAAGAUGAACACAGACAAGAGGCAGGAGUAUCAACAGAGCACUAUGGAUCAGCACAGCCUAAGCCAGCAGUUAAGAUUUCAACUAGUGAGAAGCAGUGUCAGAGAAAACAGUUUGUCUGAAUCCAGACUGCAUUUUAAGGAAGAUGUAAUUGGCCCCAGAAGCCUCAGAUUCAGUUGUUGGACAGAAAAAGAGUAACAGCCUGAUUUGGAAAGUUAUUGGCUGGUGGCUGUGUUUGCAUAAAGCAAGUAGUGUCAACUUGCAUUGUCCAGUGUUGAGGAAAAAAAACCUUCACAGAAAAGGAAGGUAGUUUGCUCUUGUGAGUCAUCAGGAGCUGGGUGCUGAAGGAAGGAGACAUUCUUGAGGAAAAAGUUUCUGGCAUGGGGAGAAGCAGUACUGUACUGUGGGUAUGGUUCCACUAGGAAAUUGGGUAUGUGCCCUGUUUUUGUGUUCUCAGGAGGCUGCGCUCCCUAGCAAAUGGGUAGUGACAGUUUGUUGCACUGUUUCAGGUUGCUUUAGCCACUUCAAGCCCUGUACCUGGUGUGUGGGUUUAAAGAAGUUUGAAUUUGCUUAAAAUUCUACAACUUUUCCCUACAAACAACGGUUAAGUUCUGGGCCAGGUACAUCCCUAAUCCAAAGGGGCCUUCUGUGAACUCCUCUGAAAUUUCUGGUUCAUGGCUGUUUUCUCAGGAAUUAUUUUGUAUCCUGUUGGUCUCCAGUUACAGGAACUUCAGUACUAUGUGGUUUUUCAAGGAAAAAAGCCUAUGGUGAAGGAACACUCAGAAGAGCACCAAGCUUCUUUGUGGGGUCCUUUGAGGAACUCCACUGCAAGAAAACAAAAAUGUUAUACCUGAAUGGAGUGAUAUUUUUCUACUGGGUCUUAAUGCUUUACCAUCUGCUUUGUCUGCCUAUUUCAUUUGUGAAGGGAUGUUUGGCAUGAGCACCCCAUUUCAUCACCUAGGAGGGUCACCACAUGGUAUAACAACACGUGGUAUAUAUAACCUUUCGUUGACUUCUAUGCCCCUGCCACUCUAGAAUAUAUAUACAUACACACAUAUAUAUAUAUGUAUGAAUUUUGAGUAGGAGUAGCCAAGUUAGACUACUCUCUUGCCCUCUCCAAGGUCUGCUGCAGAGCAAAUGUCUCCCUGCUCAGACUCAACCCCAAGAGGGCCCCCACCUCCAGUAGAAAUGUCCUGGGACCCAUGCCCCGACCUCCAACUAAAUGUUCUGGGCAGCGCUGGUUUGUCCUUCAAGUGUGAAGCCAGCAAGGACUCUCUACCACAGUUUUUGAACACAUUUCCAAGUAUGGCAGGGUGCAGUGGCAGGCACAUAAUAGGGCUUUUGGCAUGUAUUAUACUGUGCUCAACAACUCCACUCUCUGAUCCAAACAUGCCCACCAAAAAUAACUUCAGUGAACAGCUUUUAUUUUAAUUAUUCCAGUGUGGAACUCAUGAAGUUUUGCCAAAAAUCUGGCUUGUAAAGCUUUUUGUACCUAAGCACAGAAACCCCUAGUGUGUAGUUAAUCCCCCACUGGGAUUUUCCUGAUCCAGUCACAGGUCUAUUCUGCAACCUCAUCUUUCUUUACCUAUCACUUGCUGUCUCUGUUCACCCUACCAGCUCCUUAAAUUCUUGCCCUUUCUUGCCUUCUGUGAGUGUUCUUUCCCAGCUAUCUCCUCUAAUUUUCUCUAAUUUUCUUUCCCGGCUAUCUCCUCUAAUUUUCUUGUUCAACUCCACAUUUAGUGGUGGAUGGUGUUUUUUGGUGGUUCCACAGUAGUCCUGAUCUCUGCAAGGAUUUCAGUGACAUCAGUAUGUGGACUCCUCUCUCCUCUCUUCAUUCUCUCUGUCCAACCUAUUACAUGGCAUAAUAACCAAAAAGCUGCACUUUUGCCAGUGACUUGCAAACUUGCCUUUUCCUAGAUGAUCUGUUUCAUUUCAUCACUGAGGCUCUUUUCUUCCAGUCUCCUUCCCUUCUUCCCCAUGUAGCAUGUGUGUAUACAUUUUUAAAUGUAAAAGUCAUAAAGCAAACAUAAGAAAAAGGGAUGUCUCUGUGGUGUGGUGGGACAAGCUACUGGCCUGUGCAGAACACUUCCAGUGCUUGAGAGGGCUGACUAUGGUAGUUACUCUCUCAUCUCUAUGCUGGAUUAUUUAUUUAACCUUUUCUUCAUCAAACCCUAAUUUGCUUUGUGGGGAAAUACUAGCAAUUUUGGGUAGUAGUAUUUAAAGAAGUACUUGCUGUUAUUUUGUAAAUAACCUCAGAUGGUUAAUGAAGGGUCCCUCUAAGAAUAUUAAAUGUGAAGGAGAAAAACAAAAAAGGUGUGAUUGAUGUUCAGUUUUGGUUGGGUUCAUUUCCUAAGCAUCACAAAAGAGAAGGAAAAGGUGGAACUCUCUAGAGCAGGAUAACCUAUAGCAUGAUAGGUGGGGAAAAUACAGGUUCAGAUGCCUGGAGGGAAGUAAGCCCAGCUCUCCUGCAGUCUGAGGGAGUGCUCUGGUUGUAACACAAUUGCUGAAAGCAAGGCUGGCAGCAACAGCACCCACUUCUUUACUGUUUUGGUGGAGGAGGUCUGGCUAGCAGUGGAGGAGGAUGGUAAUCCCUGCCUUGAGAUAGGUGACCAAAUUCCAGAGAGGCUUAAGCUAAUUCUAAUACCUCCUGCAUUUCCUAAUGGCUCACUUGAGCAGCUCCUGCUCAGUCUUCUGUUUGAGAUGCCUGAAUUCUCUGGUUCCCAAAUCUCUGGAUCCCAGCAUGCAAGCACACUCCUGGAAGUCAGGAGCUGUGGUUUUCAGCCAUGUAGGGCCUAAACAUUGCUUGCGUCCAGAACAAAAUAUUUGUCUGUGUUUAUGUAAAUGCUUAGCUUUACAGGGUCUGUGCUUGCUUACCUUGAUAAGUGCUGCUAAAAAUAUCAAUAUGGACAUUGUGACAUUUAUGUGCAACAUUCAUAUAACAUCUGUUACACCAUGCUGGAAUUUAUGGAGCAAAACCACGGGGAAUGUCUUUGCACCAGCUAGGAACUGACAAGACAUAUACUUUUGAAAGAACCCCUUUGCAUUCAGGAUACUUUGCAACUGCUGUUUAUUAGCAUGAUACGCUGUGUUUGACUCAGCCUGAAACACAGUAUAUAAUACUGGCAUUUUCAUUUUGUCUCACAUUUGGAGUGUGAUCUGGUUCUGCUACCGUAAGUUUCUGUGCCUAUGCAGUGGGGAAUAUGAAAUUGGGGAUUUUCAAAGGUCUGAAGGUCCUUCAGUGUCAAAUUACUUCUGGAAUUCUACUUCAGCACUUCCAUAGGGCCCCAAGUGUUCUUGGCAGUUUACAAUAGUCCUUGUCCCAAAGCAUUUAAAAUACAUUUCAGAUGUGCUGAGAAUAAUAAAUCUAGAAGAAGGGAGAAAAAAGGAAUGAAAUAAUCCAGGAUAUAGUUAGCGUAUCAGUGAUUAUAUGGGUACACUUUAAUUUAUUUUUAAGGCUUGGAUGGAAGGACACAUCACUUUUAAUUCUUUUUUAUUGACUUACAUUUUGACAGUGUAAGGAAUGUUUCUAGAAAUCAGAUUUGAAUUACAGGGUUUCACAUGAACUCUGACUGUUUUUGAAAGAAAGAGUUGCAAACACUAGACUUCAUUAUCCUGUAGGAAGACUAGAAACAAAAUGGUUUAUUCAUCUUCUCCUCAUCAGCUACUCUUUUCCAAAUAUAGUGAUGCAUUUGCCCAUCUCUGAUUGAGAGUGUAGAUAACUGAUAAACUUUUGCCUUAUGGUUAGUGCAAGGAAAACAGAACAUAAAGUUCUGCUUUAUUAUAAGAAGAGGGAUACUGCAACAUUUGAGCAAGAAUCAGCCAGAAGCUGAUAAAAAACCCCCUAAAAACAAAAAUUUGAAAAAAAAAUCUGAAAUAAUGGAAAAGAUUCUUCUUUAAAAAUUUAAAACUUUUAAAAAACAACAACCAUGGAUCAUGUAGAUUUGGUGCCUACUCACUGGAACGUCACCAAAUCUCACUUGUUUUGCUUGGGCCUCACUCAAACAUAACUGGCCUCAAGCUAGUAAGCAAGCCAGCAAAUGUCCUGGCUUGUAAAGAAAUCUGAUCCAACCCUGUAAACCAAACCCAGCCUAAGAGCAGUGGUGAGGGGAACAUAUGGAAAAUUAAUGACAGAUAAAUAGAAUGGUGGGACAGCCUUAAAGUAAAGAUUGUUGUUGGGUUUAUGCAACAAUGCCAGCGAAUGGUUUUCUGAGUUAAGAAAGUUACAGAGUAUCUCAGCAAUGUUUUUGACUUUGUCAGCACUUAAGCUCUAGAAAGGGCUGCUGUGAUUCUCCUGUCCCAUUGCACAUUCUUAAUUGAUACCUGUAGCUGCUGGUUCAGCUGCAGCAGCACUUUGGGAAGCACAGAGAUCCUGGUCCCCACCUGUUUAAAUAAAUGAGCCUCAGGAAGAGGAGUGCAUUGGAUUUUCCUUGGGCUCAAACUGGGCAUAACAGCAAAGGCCAGGCUGAGAGAUAGAAGCCUGCCCAAGCACUGGGAGGAGGAGAUGAGGGUGGUGUGUGUGUGUUUGCUUUUUUCCUCUGCAGACCCCCAGGCAUUUUGCAGAGAUAAGGUGCUUUGUAUAUGAUGUCACUGAUGGGGAAAUAGUCCCAGGGAGCUCAUUGUUUCACAACGCCUCUCUGGUGAAGAAACUGGAAAUGGAAUUAAUGGAAAAAAUUAUUUUGGUGAAAGUGUAUGUAUUUCUGGAAUACACAAAUCACAUAUUUAUUUGGGUGAUGGCCUGGGAUGCUCAUUUAGGGCAGAUUUUGAAAUGUGACACCUUAGAGUAGCUAUUUUGUACCAAGAGAAAAGUGAUCCCUUUCCCCUCAUUUCUCCACUUUUGUUUUAUUGAAGACCAUCUAAAAUCCUACAAUUCUCCUGCCUGGACACUAAAAUGUCUCACUCCUCCCGUGGCUGCAUCCAUCCUGCUGAACGGGCAAAUGUUAAGGUUGAUUUGCUCACUGAGAGUCCCUUUAGGCCAAAAGUUGUGCAAUUCACCUGUUCAUUUGGGUGUUUAAAAACUCUUGUGCCAUUCAAUAUACUUAUUUUUUCUUCCUGAACCUGUUGCCUCUGAGCCAACACAGUGACUCAGGACCCUUCCCAGAAAAACACUGGGGAGGCUGUGGAGAGACCCAUGCUCACCUCAGAUUCCUGAAAAGCAGCCACUGAGUGUCUCUGAUGUCAGCUUUAAGCUUCUCUCUCUGCUCAGCUGAGAGGACAAAUGGAUUUUGCCAAUAAAAGCUGUUCAGAAUGAAAUGAUCCCAUCAUCAAAAUACAUUCAAAGAAAGGAAGAGUGAAGGAAUCCAUAACAUCAUGAGAGCUGCAUGGUCAACUCAUGUCACUUCUGUCACCCUGCUGAAUGCCACGUCACACUGCCAAUGCUUGGAAGCACUGACUGCUGGCUUUUGCGAGACUGGAAGGAAAGGAAGACCUGGACACAUUGACUACAUCGAAACUAUUAAACAAAAUUAGUCAGAGAAUUUUCCUGGAGACCAACUGGCAUGAAAUAGCUUGAAACCAUGCAGCUAAACUCUCUUACCCUCCAAAUCAUGGUGGCCACAUCCAAAAGAUCUACUGGAGAUGGUGCCUGACCUGGGUCAAUGUCCAAGCUGUGCUUUGGCAUUGUCUGGAAGAGCAUUAGCAGGCUUGCACCAAAACCAUGCCAGGGACCAGUUUAGUAGUAUGGAUGGUUUUGGGCCCAUGCCUUGCUGGUCUUGUUUAGUUUAUUUAAUGUCAGAGGGAAACCUCAGUAAUUCUGCCAGGAGUCAACAGGAAACACCCUUCUGGCCUCAGCAACCAGAAGCUGCUGAGAAGUAUAAUCAUUAGGUUGUUCACCUCCUUCACAUUUGGAUUCUUUUUCUCAUUUUAUUUUUUACCAAAUGAGCACUGAAAAUAUUUGAAAUUGCAUUGAGUAAUAAAAUUGGGUUACUGCCUGCACAAAACUUGUUGGUUUUGAACUACCAAGAGAUUUUUCACACAGGCUGAGCUUCUGGAAAAGCCAGCUUCAGCUCUCCUCCCUGAUGAAUGGUCUCCUAUGGCUUUGAGCAAGUUGCUAAGAGCUUGUGUGAUCAGUGCCCUGUUUGGAUAUAGGGGUAAAAAGCAAUGAGGUGCUGAGAUACAAACAUACCAUUUGCUUGAGGUCACAUAAGCGUGCUGAACUGAUGUGAACAUAAAACUCCCUUUGAUUUCUGUGGCAACUUAUUUCACAUGUUUGGGAAGGCAAUUUAUUUUAAACCCUGCAAAAAGGACAUUGAGUACAUUGUUAUAUCAGGAUCUUUUCAAAGUCAGAGCUCUGGGGCUGGGUUUGGAUAGGCCUGAUAUGUCCUUCAUACAGUGGGAGGUAGAUAGUGGGAGAGCUCAUACUCUGUGUUUCUAGAGCUAACUGUGCAAUGGUACCCUGAUUAUCCCAUGGAACACUGUACUCCACAGUUCUGUGUUAUACUUCUGCCUGCAGCAAUAUAAAUCAGAAUCAGGCAAUUCAUGCCUGAAUCCUUUUCUCUAUUCUGAAGAUAAAUGGCAGUGAAGGCAGAGUAGUUUUAAAGAGUUCAUCAUACAAAAUUAUUGUAUUAGGCCAUGCUGUAUUACUGAGAUUACAGAAAAUUACCUACGUGUAUUGAAUUAAACCAUGAUUUUCCAAUGAUCUCAGCAGCAGCAGAACUGGGACAAUUUAAUCAUUGCAUUAUCAGUUUGCACUCUCCCAUGGAUGCUUGCAUAUGGCAGUGGCUCUACUCAGACCUACUGAGACCAGUGCAUCAGUUAAGAUUGAAGGAAGAGAGUGGCAGCCCAUCUGUCCUUGCUUAAAUAACUAGAUUACUGGUGGUGGAUGGAAUGGAAUAGCCACAUAGCUCUGGAAAUGGAAGAGUAAUGCUGACCAAAUAAUCAUGCCAAAGUCAGAGAAGUACUAUGCAUGUGCAUGGCCCAACAUGUCUACCUUGCUCCCUAACACUGCAGGAGGAUGGGGAUAAUUCUUCUGUUUGCAACAGAUCAGUUACUAUCCUGACAGAUGGAAUUCUUGACUCUUCCAUUUGAAUCUGUCUCACACGUGCUGUUCCAGAUCACGUUUAUAGCGAGCAGAACCUCAGACUAGAGGAAAUAAAGCAUCAAGUUUGAGCUCUGAUGUUUCAUUGAUUUAGCCAAGUUCACAGAAGCCAAAUAUGUCUGAGUUUGUUCACACAGCUGGAACGUAAAUAACAACACAGGAUUUCACAGAAACUUCUAAGUUGACCUGCAUUGCUUGAGAAAUUGGUAAAUCAAUCCAUCUGCCAGAGCAAGGUGCUCCUAACAUGACACAACCUCAGGCAUUGGUGGAAACUUCUCUUUUGAGGGGAUUCUGGCAGUCAUCUCUAUGUCGAGUUUUCAAACCAUACCCAGCAAGGUUAUGCGGGUCUGGCUUUUGACCUUGGAGAAAGCAGGCACCUUGUGGCUAAACUUACUUAACAGGAUGUUCAGUGAACAUUAGAGAUCUGCUUUAACAAGAGAUGUUAAAGAAUGAGGGUGGCAAGAGUAGGAUGAAGAACUUCGGGCUGUGCCCUUCCCUGCACAGCUUGAACUCUCCUUGUAUUUAUCUGAAGCAGAUGUUCCAGGCAGGAUACACGUUGCAGCCAGAGGUGAGGAGGGAGGUGUGCAGGACUUGAAUACAUUUCACUACAGCUCCCACAUCCUGUUUACACAUAGCUGCUGGCCUGAGAACAACGUAGGGAAUAAAAAAAGGAAGGUGGAGGGGGGUGUGAUAGGAAGGAAUGGCUGAUGGGAGCCGUGAUACCAGCGCCACUGCCGGGUGUGUGUGUUGAGAGUGCCGGAGAUUUGUGGUUCUCUUUGCCUCGGCCUUUGCCAGCAACAUUUUCUCCAUGACUUUGGCAGGCAUUGAUAGACAUGCUGUCUUCAGUCAUAGGGGAGAGAAAAGGAAGAGGGGGAGCAAUUUGUUGGAAAAAAAGAAAAAAAGGCAGCUCACCUGCAGAGAAACUAUACUUACUCUCAUAUUCAGCAAUGCUGCUCAGACUCUAAAAAAACACAGCUGGAAUCACUGAACCAACUUUUCUGUCUCAUUAAAAUCUUGGACUGAUUUUUAAUAGUAGAAAGGCACUUAUUGAAUCACUGGUGGGCAAUGAGAAAUACUAAGAAAGCUAAGGCCCAUUUAAGCAGUCAGCCUGCUGAAGGAUGGAUUUUGUUCAGGCUGGAUACUUAUUGGCAAUUUGAUUUCUACACACAUAGAGCAGAGAAGGGCCCUCUUUUCUGUGCACUGGAAAUGCACUUUCAUUUUAUGUUUCCCUUUCAACUCAUUGCACCUAUUCCAAAUCAUCCACACAAAUUCCUGUCUAAUGGUAGGGAGAGAAUGAAGAUGUGUACAUAUACUCUCUGGGGUUUUGGUUGUUGUUUUU